RNAcentral lists this long non-coding RNA (422 nucleotides) under Homo sapiens (human). RNAcentral's name for it is "HSALNT0302181". Lineage: Eukaryota; Metazoa; Chordata; Mammalia; Primates; Hominidae. The record is from RNAcentral.
GGUCAGGACAGCAGCUUGGUCUUCCCAGGUGAGGAACUGAGGACUGGCCUGCAUAGAUUUGUGCAGUAGCGAGGGCCGAGGUAGGGGCAGAUAGAUCACCAGACAGGCGGAGAAGGACAGGAGUACAGAUGGAGGGACCAGGACACAGAAUGCAAAAGACUGGCAGUUUCACUGCAAAUCCACAGAAGCAGGUUUGCGAGCUCGAAUACCUUUGCUCCACUGCCACACGCAGCACCGGGACUGGGCGUCUGGAGCUUAAGUCUGGGGGUCUGAGCCUGGGACCGGCAAAUCCGCGCAGCGCAUCGCGCCCAGUCUCGGAGACUGCAACCACCGCCAAGGAGUACGCGCGGCAGGAAACUUCUGCGGCCCAAUUUCUUCCCCAGCUUUGGCAUCUCCGAAGGCACGUACCCGCCCUCGGCACA